Molecule: ribosomal RNA, 688 nt
Filed under: uncultured Alphaproteobacteria bacterium
Lineage: Bacteria; Pseudomonadati; Pseudomonadota; Alphaproteobacteria
Description: bacterial SSU rRNA
Rfam family: Bacterial small subunit ribosomal RNA
Source: RNAcentral
AGCGAACGCUGGCGGCAGGCCUAAUACAUGCAAGUCGAGCGCACCUUCGGGUGAGCGGCGGACGGGUGAGUAACGCGUGGGAACGUGCCCUUUGGUUCGGAACAACACAGGGAAACUUGUGCUAAUACCGAAUGUGCCCUUCGGGGGAAAGAUUUAUCGCCAUUGGAGCGGCCCGCGUUGGAUUAGGUAGUUGGUGGGGUAAAGGCCCACCAAGCCGACGAUCCAUAGCUGGUCUGAGAGGAUGAUCAGCCACACUGGGACUGAGACACGGCCCAGACUCCUACGGGAGGCAGCAGUAGGGAAUCUUGCGCAAUGGGCGAAAGCCUGACGCAGCCAUGCCGCGUGAAUGAUGAAGGUCUUAGGAUUGUAAAAUUCUUUCACCGGGGAAGAUAAUGACGGUACCCGGAGAAGAAGCCCCGGCUAACUUCGUGCCAGCAGCCGCGGUAAUACGAAGGGGGCUAGCGUUGCUCGGAAUUACUGGGCGUAAAGGGCGCGUAGGCGGAUAGUUUAGUCAGAGGUGAAAGCCCAGGGCUCAACCUUGGAACUGCCUUUGAUACUGGCUAUCUUGAGUUCGGGAGAGGUGAGUGGAAUGCCGAGUGUAGAGGUGAAAUUCGUAGAUAUUCGGCGGAACACCAGUGGCGAAGGCGACUCACUGGCCCGAUACUGACGCUGAGGCGCGAAAGCGUGG